AAAGGAAUAGACGGGUGCCCGCACAAGCGGUGGAGCAUGUGGUUUAAUUCGAGGCAACGCGAAGAACCUUACCAGGUCUUGACAUGCCACUAAAGGCCCUAGAAAUAGGGAGAUAGUUAUAGUGGACACAGGUGGUGCAUGGUUGUCGUCAGCUCGUGUCGUGAGAUGUCUGGUUAAGUCCUACAACGAGCGCAACCCUUGUCGAUAGUUACCAUCAUUUAGUUGGGUACUUUAUCGAGACAGCCAGCGUAAGCUGGAGGAAGGUGGGGAUGAGGUCAAAUCAUCAUGCCCUUUAUGACCUGGGCUACACACGUGCUACAAUGGUCGGUACAAAAAGAUGCAAUAUAGUGAUAUGGAGCAAAUCUUCUAAAGCCGAUCUCAGUUCGGAUUGGAAUCUGCAACUCGAUUCCAUGAAGUCGGAAUCGCUAGUAAUCGCGAAUCAGAACGUCGCGGUGAAUACGUUCUCGGGCAUUGUACACACCGCCCGU
RNAcentral lists this ribosomal RNA (488 nucleotides) under uncultured bacterium. RNAcentral describes it as "bacterial SSU rRNA". It matches the Rfam family "Bacterial small subunit ribosomal RNA", at positions 903 to 1397 of the family's 1533-position model. The record is from RNAcentral.